GUCACAUGAAACAGUCACGAUAAACGCUGUGAAAGUGGAACGAAAGAAAGGAGCCAAAUCAGCAGCUGCAGCAGAGAAGAAGCUGCUGGUGUUUGCAGAGCUCCAGAGCUCCAUGUCCAGCAGUUUGUGUAUAGUUGCUCUACACAAACUGCACAACAAUGCAAUCAAAUGAAGGACGACGUCAUUAUAGGUUAGCGUUAUUGCAUCUCGACAUAGUUUUUUUUUUUUUUAAAGCUUGCGUCUACUUUAAUGAUAUUUAAUGCACCACCCGGCGAGCAUGCUGAGUGACCUAAAUCAAACACACCCACAAUGUUGCGUGACCAACAGGUGCAUGCUGGGGCUAGCUAAAAUACUAAAUGCUAAAAUGCUCAUGGUGGAUGCUCGGCAGGUGACUUUUACAUUUGCGUAUGGACUUGUGCCUCCUGUCAUAGCCGAGACCGCUGAGCGCUCGCUCCAGUUCCAAACUUUUUGAAAACUUUGAGGAGCGCAGUUGGACCAGAGAUGCUGAGUGGACUGGACAUUUCCCCCUGAGAACGAGCGAGCAGAGAAGCGGAACCCAGAGCAGAUUGAGGAGGACUUCACGCGAAGCCGUUCGGGCAGAAUUCCCUGCAGGCAUAAUCCAAGGACGUCCCUGUUCUCCAGGUGGAUCAUUUCAGCUGUCAGACCACAUUUCUGCAGGAAACAUUGUAAACAACGCCUGAGGAGAGUGACAGAGAAUUGCCUCCAUGACACUCAGGAGAAGAAUAAAGCAUGUCUUGUUGCAUCGUAUUGAAUUUGUAAAACCAAAAUGCAUAAAGGACAUAUGCAAUGGGUUAGACAGCAUGCACUGUUUUAUAUUUUAUGCACAUAAAUUGUUUAAUUGUA
Siniperca chuatsi (mandarin fish) is the source of this 864-nucleotide long non-coding RNA. RefSeq lists it as uncharacterized. Lineage: Eukaryota; Metazoa; Chordata; Actinopteri; Centrarchiformes; Sinipercidae. The transcript has 2 exons. The record is from RefSeq and is a predicted model, not a curated record.